GAUGAACGCUGGCGGCGUGCCUAACACAUGCAAGUCGAACGGAGUCCAGCCUUUAAGACCUUCGGGUCAAAGAGGGGAAGACUGAGUGGCGGACGGGUGAGUAACACGUGGGCAACCUGGCUCAUAGAGGGGGAUAACAGAGAGAAAUUUCUGCUAAUACCGCAUAGCACACACUGCCGCAUGGCAGAGGGGGAAAAGAGAAUCGCUAUGAGAUGGACCCGCGUCUGGUUAGCCAGUUGGCAGGGUAAGAGCCUACCAAAGCGACGAUCAGUAGCCGAUCUGAGAGGAUGAACGGCCACAUUGGGACUGAGACACGGCCCAAACUCCUACGGGAGGCAGCAGUGGGGGAUAUGGCACAAUGGGGGAACCCUGAUGCAGCGACGCCGCGUGAGUGAAGAAGUAUUUCGGUAUGUAAAGCUCUAUCAGCAGGGAAGAUAAUGACAGUACCUGAAUAAGAAGCCCCGGCUAACUACGUG
RNAcentral lists this ribosomal RNA (476 nucleotides) under uncultured bacterium. RNAcentral's name for it is "partial 16S ribosomal RNA". It matches the Rfam family "Bacterial small subunit ribosomal RNA", at positions 28 to 507 of the family's 1533-position model. The record is from RNAcentral.